ACGCUCGACACCUACGGGGGCAGCAGUGGGGAAUAUUGGGCAAUGGGCGCAAGCCUGACCCAGCAACGCCGCGUGAAGGAUGAAGGCUUUCGGGUUGUAAACUUCUUUUAUCAGGGACGAAACAAAUGACGGUACCUGAUGAAUAAGCCACGGCUAACUACGUGCCCGCAGCCGCGGUAAUCUGAGCGGGCUGGCAAGGC
RNAcentral lists this ribosomal RNA (200 nucleotides) under uncultured bacterium. RNAcentral describes it as "partial 16S ribosomal RNA". It matches the Rfam family "Bacterial small subunit ribosomal RNA", at positions 328 to 539 of the family's 1533-position model. The record is from RNAcentral.